Molecule: long non-coding RNA, 223 nt
Filed under: Elaeis guineensis (African oil palm)
Lineage: Eukaryota; Viridiplantae; Streptophyta; Magnoliopsida; Arecales; Arecaceae
Description: long non-coding RNA (EGUI_LNC053257)
Source: RNAcentral
AUAUGUUAGAAAAUUACUGAUGAGCUAUUUGUUAGAUUUGUACCCUAGAAGCCAAUUAUUGGCUGACAUAUUUUAUAAUUCUAGAGUCUAAACUUGUACUUGUAAUCUUUUUAUUAUCAAUAAAGGAUUUUUUCAUAUCAAUCAUGUUUGUGUCUAUGAUUUGUCCUAAAAAUUAAUAAAGAUGAUUUUUGUAUAUUCUUAAAAAGUUAAGAAGACAUACAUG